AGGUUAAGUAAAGGGCACUGAACAAGUGAAGCUGUGCUGAAAACAACAGUGGCCAAGGCAGAGAUAUUCUUAUACCUCAACCCGUUGUGCAGAUGGAAGUCUGGCCAAAAAACCAUAAAGCAUCAAGUCUGACUAUUGGUUUGCCAUGGCUCUUUGAAACAGUUACUCUUGUCCUCAUUGUAGAGAUGGCGAUACUAAGGCAGAAUAUGUUUCUCUUGCUCAUCGGACCAAAGUUUGGAAUCACGUCUCAUCUUCGUGUAUUUUGAAAAUCUAACAAAUCUAGAAGAUGGUGUGAAUGUGCAUAUAUUUAGACAAUUUAAAAUUUUGUCAAGGACAUGAAAGAAAGACAUGUUUUCUAACAAAACAGAAAAAAACAAAAAUAAGAACAGAAUGCUUUUAACAUUGCUUAAAGAACUACAGAACUAUGGUGGCAAAGUGAGUAUGUCAUACAAGGUAGGCUAUGUAAAUCUAUGUGUGAUAAUUGUGUACUAUUCAUUGAUAGGGGAUGUACUUUCUACUUAACACAUGUUCUCCUCCUAGAUACCUUACCUAUAGGUACAGAAGUAUCUAUUAUAUUGGUUUAGGCUGAUUCUAAGGGAUAUUUCUCUUAAUGUAAGCUGAAGCAGAGAGAAACUCUAUUGGCAGAUGCAAGUGACUUUUUUAACACAAUGAGUUACUGAAGGAUGGAUUCUUAAGCUAUGGAAUAUUGCUGAAAUCAAAGCUGCUAUAAUGCAGUUAUACUUUCAUAAGUCUGAAUAGAAAAAAAAGUCACAUCAUGGAAAAGAGAACUCAAUCAAAUAUCGGACUUCCACACUAUUUAUGUGUACUAUGUGUACUAUGUGUUCUUAAUAAAUAUUCUCAUAAAUACCUGCAAAA
This is a long non-coding RNA of Homo sapiens (human), 876 nucleotides long. Ensembl annotates it as long intergenic non-protein coding RNA 2941. NCBI's taxonomy places the organism in Eukaryota, Metazoa, Chordata, Mammalia, Primates, Hominidae. The record is from Ensembl.